UAGCCGUAAACGAUACUCGCUAGGUGUCGGCCACGGUGCGACCGUUGUCGGUGCCGUAGGGAAGCCGUGAAGCGAGCCACCUGGGAGGUACGGCCGCAAGGCUGAAACUUAAAGGAAUUGGCGGGGGAGCACCACAACGGGUGGAGCUUGCGGUUUAAUUGGAUUCAACGCCGGAAAUCUUACCGGGACCGACAGCAACAUGAAGGCCAGGCUGAAGACUUUGCCGGAUUAGCUGAGAGGAGGUGCAUGGCGUAGUCGUGU
Molecule: ribosomal RNA, 261 nt
Filed under: uncultured archaeon
Lineage: Archaea
Description: partial 16S ribosomal RNA
Rfam family: Archaeal small subunit ribosomal RNA
Source: RNAcentral